ACAGAGGUGGCAAGCGUUGUUCGGAAUUACUGGGCGUAAAGGGCUCGUAGGCGGCCAACUAAGUCCGACGUGAAAUCCCCGGGCUCAACCUGGGAACCGCGCUUGAGACUGGAGUACUAGAGUUCGGGAGAGGAUGGUGGAAUUCCCAGUGUAGAGGUGAAAUUCGUAGAUAUUGGGAAGAACACCGAUGGCGAAGGCGGCAUCCUGGACCGGUAUUGACGCUGAGGCGCGAAAGCCAGGGGAGCAAACGGGA
Molecule: ribosomal RNA, 253 nt
Filed under: uncultured prokaryote
Description: partial 16S ribosomal RNA
Rfam family: Bacterial small subunit ribosomal RNA
Source: RNAcentral